GACGAACGCUGGCGGCAUGCCUAAUACAUGCAAGUCGAACGCUUUUGUUUCACCGGGUGCUUGCACCCACCGAGACAAAAGAGUGGCGGACGGGUGAGUAACACGUGGGUAACCUGCCCAUAAGAGGGGGAUAACAUCCGGAAACGGAUGCUAAUACCGCAUAUUUCCAAUUGUCUCCUGACAGAUGGAAAAAAGGUGGCUUCGGCUACCGCUUAUGGAUGGACCCGCGGCCUAUCAGCUUGUUGGUGGGGUAAUGGCCUACCAAGGCGACGACGGGUAGCCGGCCUGAGAGGGUGAUCGGCCACACUGGGACUGAGACACGGCCCAG
This 328-nucleotide ribosomal RNA is filed under the name uncultured bacterium. RNAcentral describes it as "bacterial SSU rRNA". It matches the Rfam family "Bacterial small subunit ribosomal RNA", at positions 28 to 334 of the family's 1533-position model. The record is from RNAcentral.